AGUCAAGUAAUUAAGUGCAUGUGGUGGAUGCCUUGGCAGUCAGAGGCGAUGAAAGACGUGAUAGCCUGCGAAAAGCUCCGG
Molecule: ribosomal RNA, 81 nt
Filed under: Acinetobacter baumannii
Lineage: Bacteria; Pseudomonadati; Pseudomonadota; Gammaproteobacteria; Moraxellales; Moraxellaceae
Description: partial 23S ribosomal RNA
Rfam family: Bacterial large subunit ribosomal RNA
Source: RNAcentral